This 239-nucleotide long non-coding RNA is filed under the name Lathyrus oleraceus (garden pea). RNAcentral describes it as "Pisum sativum (pea) long non-coding RNA (PSAT_LNC012643)". Lineage: Eukaryota; Viridiplantae; Streptophyta; Magnoliopsida; Fabales; Fabaceae. The record is from RNAcentral.
GAGAGCGAGCAAAGCAAUCUUGUUAAAGGAUGGACAUUCGAUUCCGAACAAAGGAAUACGAAUCUUACUCUGCUGGAGGUAACAAUCAAAAGACUGACCAACGAGUGCAUGGGACAUAUUAUCUAUAGCCGUCAGAACGUAGAUAACAUACUCGCAUGGCAGAUUAUCCAUAACCGGGUUGGAGGUUGUUAGAUGGAUAAACGACCGACAUCAUCCUGAAGAAAGCGAAGGCAAACUUG